AUAGAUUUUUUAUAAUUUUUUUAUAAUUUUGAUUAAACUUGAGAUGCUUUGACUUUCCAAAAUUCUUGGAAUGCUUUAUAAUUUGAGAUGGAGGGAGUAUCAUAUGUAUGUGCCAUCUUUCAUGGACCAUGGCAACUGGCAAACACAUUGUAUACCGGAGCUCAAGCGUGAGCUACUACACUAUCGAUUAUGGAUUUAUACUAGGUCACACUUUCGUUGCUUUCGUCUUGU
Molecule: long non-coding RNA, 231 nt
Filed under: Sorghum bicolor (sorghum)
Lineage: Eukaryota; Viridiplantae; Streptophyta; Magnoliopsida; Poales; Poaceae
Description: long non-coding RNA (SBIC_LNC005991)
Source: RNAcentral